This 478-nucleotide ribosomal RNA is filed under the name uncultured bacterium. RNAcentral describes it as "partial 16S ribosomal RNA". It matches the Rfam family "Bacterial small subunit ribosomal RNA", at positions 30 to 523 of the family's 1533-position model. The record is from RNAcentral.
AUUGAACGCUGGCGGCGUGCCUAAUACAUGCAAGUCGAACGGGGAAAGCUUUCGGGUGAGUACUAGUGGCGCACGGGUGAGUAACGCGUGGAUAAUCUGCCUUAGAGUGGGGGAUAACUAGUCGAAAGAUUAGCUAAUACCGCAUAAGACCACAAGAACUGCGGUUCAAGGGGUCAAAGGUUUUUCGCUCUAAGAUGAGUCCGCGUAAGAUUAGCUAGUUGGUAGGGUAACGGCCUACCAAGGCGACGAUCUUUAACUGGUCUGAGAGGAUGAUCAGUCACACUGGAACUGAGACACGGUCCAGACUCCUACGGGAGGCAGCAGUAGGGAAUAUUGCACAAUGGAGGAAACUCUGAUGCAGCGACGCCGCGUGAGUGAUGAAGGCCUUCGGGUCGUAAAGCUCUGUCGCAGGGGAAUAACACAAUGAAGGUACCCUGUAAGAAAGGAUCGGCUAACUUCGUGCCAGCAGCCGCCGUAA